AAUGUUACUCAAAACUGUAAUUUUAUAAAAUAUGCCAGGUAUGGUGUUUCCCAGCCUGGUCUACAGAGUGAGUUCCAGAACAGCCAGGACUACACAGAGAAACCCUGUCUCCGGGAAAAAAAAAAAAAGAAAGGAUUUUUUUUUUUUUUUAACUACAUUAAAAUUACACAGGGUUUUUCUGUAGUAGCCCUGGCUGUCCUGGACUCAACUUUGUAGACCAGGCUGGCCUCAGAUUCACAGAGACCCACCUGCCUCUGCUUCUCCAGUGCUGGGAUUAAAGGCAUAUGCCACCAUGCCAGGCUAUUGCUGUGCAUCUUAAACUGGGCCAGAACAUUGCAGUGUGACUAGACUGACUGCUUUUGAGUUCCAGAUCCUCCUGUUUCCCUCUGCUUGGAUUAUGAGUGUUGCUCCCUGGGCCCUUUGCUUUGUCUCAGUACAACUUAACAUAACAUAACAUUCCCUUCAUAACAUCUCUGUGCUGGAUUGCUGGUGGUUGUUGGCGCCAUGCAGGCAAGAGCUGCCCUUCCACACUGAGUGAGACCCAUACUGUUCCACAGACUAGUUCUGUCGUUGUAUAUUCUGUGUAUAUGUGAUUACCUACUUACCAUUCAAGCACUGUUUUAUUGGUUCACCUGUUGGCUGUUCUGAGUAAUGCUGAGUAAACUUGAAUACAAGUUUGAGAGAGAACACAAAGCUUUCUUUUUUGGGAGGUAGAAUUGUUGAUCUUAUGGCAAAAUGUAUGUUUAGUUAUUUCAGAAACUAUGAAACUGUUUACAGAAGAGGCUAUGCCAUUGUAUAGCCGGUUUCAGUCUCACAUCCUCACCAGUACCUGAUAUUAAUAUUUGUUUAAGCUGUAUCCAUUCUGGUGGAUGUGUAGUGGGAAUCUCAUUCUGAUUUAAUUUAAAUUCCUUUUACCUCAAAAUUCUUCUUUUUGUUUUUUUUUUUCUUCACUCCCCGCGCAUACCUGCACACACAUGGGGGCUAGAGUUUAAUCUUGGGAGCCAUCGAUAUAGUUUAUUUAUUGAUUCAAUUUUGAUAUGUAUGAGUGUUUUGUUCAUGUGAAUGCAGUAUUGGCAGAGGCUAGAAAAGGCCAGGGGAAAUUCCCUGGGAUUGGAGUUUCAGAUGGUUGUGAGCUACCGUGGGUGCUGGGAAACAGACCCAGGUUCUCUGCAAGAGCAGCAGUGUUCUUAACCCCCAAGUCACCUCUUCAGCCCCUCUAUUCUUUAUUAUUGCCAAGUAGCUUUCAGUCCUGUUUGUUCUCAAUUUACAGGUAAACGGAAGCUGCAGUUUUAGGUUUUCUGAUCAUCAUCUAGGAUCCAUGAAAUCAGUAGCAGAAUAUCUAAGAAAUCAGAGUUCAUAUCUUGGGUUCAUAUCUGUCCUGUGCCCUCCCCACACCACCCUGGUGAUCAAAUCAAAAUUGAGCAGUCCAGGGGCUGACCCAAAGGGCUCUGACCAAUUAGACAGACUCUGGGGGCUGGCUAAAGAUUACAUAGCAAUAAAAAAUUAACUGCCCAGACGUCAGGGUUAGGGCUUUAUGAAGUGCUGCAGAGAUGGCUCAGAGGUUGCGAGUACAUGCUGCUUUGGUGGGGAUGAGUUCAACUCCUAGUGCCCACGCUGCCUUCGACUCCAUCCGGCUCUAGGGGUCAGCAUUCUCUUUUGGCCUAUUCAGACAAAUGCAUGACUGUUCAUAACACAGAUACACAAAUACAUAUAAAACUUAAGGGGCUGAGGGAUGGCUCAGCAGUUACAAGUACCUGAUUUGACUUAAUAGUUAUUUAUUUAUAUUUUUUGAGACAGGGCGUCCCUGUGUAGCUUGGCUGCCUUGGAACUCCCUCUGUAGACCAGGCUAGCCUCGAACUCAGAUGUACCUGCCUCUCCCUACCAAGUGCAGUACCAUGCCUGGCACUUAAUGUUGCAGAGAGCCUGAUUUCCAUUCCAGUACCCACAUCUGUAACUCCAGUUUUAAGAGAUCCAUUGCUCUAAUCUCUGCAGGUAUCGGCACACACAUAGUACAUAAUCAUACACAUGAGUGAAACACUCAUACAUACAGAACAGAUAUUU
RNAcentral lists this long non-coding RNA (2061 nucleotides) under Mus musculus (house mouse). RNAcentral describes it as "long non-coding RNA chr2:166005781-166007842". Lineage: Eukaryota; Metazoa; Chordata; Mammalia; Rodentia; Muridae. The record is from RNAcentral.